This 1204-nucleotide ribosomal RNA is filed under the name Bacillus velezensis. Its description in RNAcentral is "bacterial SSU rRNA". It matches the Rfam family "Bacterial small subunit ribosomal RNA", at positions 28 to 1215 of the family's 1533-position model. Lineage: Bacteria; Bacillati; Bacillota; Bacilli; Caryophanales; Bacillaceae. The record is from RNAcentral.
GACGAACGCUGGCGGCGUGCCUAAUACAUGCAAGUCGAGCGGACAGAUGGGAGCUUGCUCCCUGAUGUUAGCGGCGGACGGGUGAGUAACACGUGGGUAACCUGCCUGUAAGACUGGGAUAACUCCGGGAAACCGGGGCUAAUACCGGAUGGUUGUUUGAACCGCAUGGUUCAGACAUAAAAGGUGGCUUCGGCUACCACUUACAGAUGGACCCGCGGCGCAUUAGCUAGUUGGUGAGGUAACGGCUCACCAAGGCAACGAUGCGUAGCCGACCUGAGAGGGUGAUCGGCCACACUGGGACUGAGACACGGCCCAGACUCCUACGGGAGGCAGCAGUAGGGAAUCUUCCGCAAUGGACGAAAGUCUGACGGAGCAACGCCGCGUGAGUGAUGAAGGUUUUCGGAUCGUAAAGCUCUGUUGUUAGGGAAGAACAAGUGCCGUUCAAAUAGGGCGGCACCUUGACGGUACCUAACCAGAAAGCCACGGCUAACUACGUGCCAGCAGCCGCGGUAAUACGUAGGUGGCAAGCGUUGUCCGGAAUUAUUGGGCGUAAAGGGCUCGCAGGCGGUUUCUUAAGUCUGAUGUGAAAGCCCCCGGCUCAACCGGGGAGGGUCAUUGGAAACUGGGGAACUUGAGUGCAGAAGAGGAGAGUGGAAUUCCACGUGUAGCGGUGAAAUGCGUAGAGAUGUGGAGGAACACCAGUGGCGAAGGCGACUCUCUGGUCUGUAACUGACGCUGAGGAGCGAAAGCGUGGGGAGCGAACAGGAUUAGAUACCCUGGUAGUCCACGCCGUAAACGAUGAGUGCUAAGUGUUAGGGGGUUUCCGCCCCUUAGUGCUGCAGCUAACGCAUUAAGCACUCCGCCUGGGGAGUACGGUCGCAAGACUGAAACUCAAAGGAAUUGACGGGGGCCCGCACAAGCGGUGGAGCAUGUGGUUUAAUUCGAAGCAACGCGAAGAACCUUACCAGGUCUUGACAUCCUCUGACAAUCCUAGAGAUAGGACGUCCCCUUCGGGGGCAGAGUGACAGGUGGUGCAUGGUUGUCGUCAGCUCGUGUCGUGAGAUGUUGGGUUAAGUCCCGCAACGAGCGCAACCCUUGAUCUUAGUUGCCAGCAUUCAGUUGGGCACUCUAAGGUGACUGCCGGUGACAAACCGGAGGAAGGUGGGGAUGACGUCAAAUCAUCAUGCCCCUUAUGACCUGGGCU